GUGAAGCGGCAAAAGCUCAAAUUUGAAAUCUGGCGUCUUUGGCGUCCGAGUUGUAAUUUGAAGAAGGUAUCUUUGGGCCCGGCUCUUGUCUAUGUUCCUUGGAACAGGACGUCACAGAGGGUGAGAAUCCCGUGCGAUGAGAUGACCCGGGUCUGUGUAAAGUUCCUUCGACGAGUCGAGUUGUUUGGGAAUGCAGCUCUAAGUGGGUGGUAAAUUCCAUCUAAAGCUAAAUAUUGGCGAGAGACCGAUAGCGAACAAGUACAGUGAUGGAAAGAUGAAAAGAACUUUGAAAAGAGAGUGAAAAAGUACGUGAAAUUGUUGAAAGGGAAGGGCUUGAGAUCAGACUUGGUAUUUUGCAUGCUGCUCUCUCGGGGGCGGCCGCUGCGGUUUACCGGGCCAGCAUCGGUUUGGAGCGGCAGGAUAAUGGCGGAGGAAUGUGGCACGGCUUCUGCUGUGUGUUAUAGCCUCUGACGAUACUGCCAGCCUAGACCGAGGACUGCGGUUUUUACCUAGGAUGUUGGCAUAAUGAUCUUAAGUCGCCCGUCUUGAAACACGGACCAA
RNAcentral lists this ribosomal RNA (561 nucleotides) under Candida albicans. Its description in RNAcentral is "LSU rRNA". It matches the Rfam family "Eukaryotic large subunit ribosomal RNA", at positions 93 to 669 of the family's 3401-position model. The record is from RNAcentral. Lineage: Eukaryota; Fungi; Ascomycota; Pichiomycetes; Serinales; Debaryomycetaceae.